GGCAGGAAAUCCUAUACCAUUUCAGACAAAUGGCAAGUUGUUCCACUGAUCUUUUCAGACAAGCUCUGGGUUAGCAUCCUUUUCCAGCCCACCCACUCAGCAACCCAGUUGUGUAUUUCCAAAGCACAGGUGUCCGCUUCUCCUUGCUUAAUCAAAGGCCAGUUUAACAACGCACAAGGACUUGCCAGCGCAUAAUUUGCAAUCAAAUAUACCAGACAGGAAGUGGUAGCAGAGCCUUUUUUUUUAAUUGUGCAUUGUUAUGCAACAGAACAAAUGGAUUGAAAGCAUAUACUUAAAUCAAAACCCACUUACCACCACCCAAAGUAGUAAA
This is a non-coding RNA of Notechis scutatus (mainland tiger snake), 331 nucleotides long. Lineage: Eukaryota; Metazoa; Chordata; Lepidosauria; Squamata; Elapidae. The record is from RefSeq and is a predicted model, not a curated record.